Molecule: ribosomal RNA, 497 nt
Filed under: uncultured bacterium
Lineage: Bacteria
Description: partial 16S ribosomal RNA
Rfam family: Bacterial small subunit ribosomal RNA
Source: RNAcentral
GAUGAACGCUGGCGGCGUGCCUAAUACAUGCAAGUCGAGCGAACGGACGAGAAGCUUGCUUCUCUGAUGUUAGCGGCGGACGGGUGAGUAACACGUGGAUAACCUACCUAUAAGACUGGGAUAACUUCGGGAAACCGGAGCUAAUACCGGAUAAUAUUUUGAACCGCAUGGUUCAAAAGUGAAAGACGGUCUUGCUGUCACUUAUAGAUGGAUCCGCGCUGCAUUAGCUAGUUGGUAAGGUAACGGCUUACCAAGGCAACGAUGCACAGCCGACCUGAGAGGGUGAUCGGCCACACUGGAACUGAGACACGGUCCAGACUCCGACGGGAGGCAGCAGUAGGGAAUCUUCCGCAAUGGGCGAAAGCCUGACGGAGCAACGCCGCGUGAGUGAUGAAGGUCUUCGGAUCGUAAAACUCUGUUAUUAGGGAAGAACAUAUGUGUAAGUAACUGUGCACAUCUUGACGGUACCUAAUCAGAAAGCCACGGCUAACUACGUG